CCUGAAGCAAUGGAGAAAAGGAGGGACCAGCCUGUCAACCUUAAAGGGACAGAGCAAAGCUGUUAAGAUGUUCAAAGCUCCCAGCAGGGAGCAUUGGCCACAACAGAAGGAGGACACUGAGUUAUGACAAGUCCUUGUCAGUCUUCCUUGCAAAAGCAAGAGUGAGCAUGUGUUGCUGAUGUGUGGUGAUUUGCAGAGGGAUCGGGGCUCAGCAUCGGAGCCAAGUUAAAUACACAAGGGCUUUCACAGAGGUCAAAAUGUAGAGAGCAAAUUACAAGAACCCCAGGGUACCUCCUUUAUGCAUCAAGCAUUGACUAAAUCCCAGCAGGAAGUGGCUAUUCCCCACCUACACCACCCUGUUUUGAAGAACCAUCCAUGCUGGGAUACAAAAUGUCACCACCAUCUCCUGCUUUUCCUGACCACUGCAUUCUGGAAGCAAGGAUCUGAAAGCAGAUAUGGAGUGAGAGAAACUGACACAGGUUUGGCUCAGUCAAAGCUCCAUCCCAGCUCUGUGGAACAUCUGCCCAUCUCCCUCUGAGGCCAAGAAGGAUCCAGGUGGACAAUGGAACAGUGGGAUUUGGCUACAGUUGGGACUGCUAAAUCUGUCAGUCAUCCAGACUGAAGAAGAGCCUGUUAACACAGAAUCCUAAAAAAAGAAGUUCAUAUGUGGCAAGGAUUUGAGAUAUUCACAUACAACACUCAGAAGUCUGACUGUAUAACAUUCUCCCACUGAUUUCUCACAGAAAACCUUUCCACAUCCAAAUUGUUCUGUCCCCAAACUCCCUUCCACUGACAGACUGAACUCUAUUUUCUUCCCCAGAACAUUCUUACCUGGUGAUGUUGGGGGGCUGGGUUGGGGGGCAGAAACUGUAACAACAGGGAAAAAGAAACCUAGGAAAAUGAGCUCAGUAAUAUUGUAGCCACCUCCUCAAAG
RNAcentral lists this long non-coding RNA (934 nucleotides) under Homo sapiens (human). RNAcentral describes it as "HSALNT0232410". The record is from RNAcentral. Lineage: Eukaryota; Metazoa; Chordata; Mammalia; Primates; Hominidae.